GACGAACGCUGGCGGCGCGCCUAACACAUGCAAGUCGAACGAGCGAGAGGAGGUGUACUUUCUCAAGCGAGUGGCGAACGGGUGAGUAACGCGUGAGGAACCUGCCUCAAAGAGGGGGACAACAGUUGGAAACGACUGCUAACACCGCAUAAGCCCACGACCCGGCAUCGGGUAGAGGGAAAAGGAGCAAUCCGCUUUGAGAUGGCCUCGCGUCCGAUUAGCUAGUUGGUGAGGUAAUGGCCCACCAAGGCGACGAUCGGUAGCCGGACUGAGAGGUUGAACGGCCACAUUGGGACUGAGACACGGCCCAGACUCCUACGGGAGGCAGCAGUGGGGAAUAUUGCACAAUGGGGGACACCCUGAUGCAGCGACGCCGCGUGGAGGAAGAAGGUCUUCGGAUUGUAAACUCCUGUUGUUGAGGAAGAUAAUGACGGUACUCAACAAGGAAGUGACGGCUAACUACGUG
This 466-nucleotide ribosomal RNA is filed under the name uncultured bacterium. Its description in RNAcentral is "partial 16S ribosomal RNA". It matches the Rfam family "Bacterial small subunit ribosomal RNA", at positions 28 to 507 of the family's 1533-position model. The record is from RNAcentral.